ACGGAAGGCAGCAGUGGGGAAUAUUGGGCAAUGGGGGAAACCCUGACCCAGCAACGCCGCGUGAAGGAAGAAGGCCCUCGGGUUGUAAACUUCUUUUACCAGGGACGAAACAAUGACGGUACCUGGAGAAAAAGCAACGGCUAACUACGUGCCAGCAGCCGCGGUAAUACGUAGGUUGCAAGCGUUGUCCGGAUUUACUGGGUGUAAAGGGCGUGUAGGCGGAGAAGCAAGUCAGAUGUGAAAUCCCGGGGCUUAACCCCGGAACUGCAUUUGAAACUGUUUCCCUUGAGUAUCGGAGAGGCAAGCGGAAUUCCUAGUGUAGCGGUGAAAUGCGUAGAUAUUAGGAGGAACACCAGUGGCGAAGGCGGCUUGCUGGACGACAACUGACGCUGAGGCGCGAAAGCGUGGGGAUCGAACAGGAUUAGAUACCCUGGUA
RNAcentral lists this ribosomal RNA (436 nucleotides) under uncultured Clostridium sp. Its description in RNAcentral is "partial 16S ribosomal RNA". It matches the Rfam family "Bacterial small subunit ribosomal RNA", at positions 341 to 792 of the family's 1533-position model. Lineage: Bacteria; Bacillati; Bacillota; Clostridia; Eubacteriales; Clostridiaceae. The record is from RNAcentral.